Molecule: ribosomal RNA, 433 nt
Filed under: uncultured bacterium
Lineage: Bacteria
Description: partial 16S ribosomal RNA
Rfam family: Bacterial small subunit ribosomal RNA
Source: RNAcentral
AACGAACGCUGGCGGCAUGCCUAACACAUGCAAGUCGAACGAGACCUUCGGGUCUCGUGGCGCACGGGUGCGUAACGCGUGGGAAUCUGCCCUUGGGUUCGGAAUAACAGUUGGAAACGACUGCUAAUACCGGAUGAUGACGUAAGUCCAAAGAUUUAUCGCCCAAGGAUGAGCCCGCGUAGGAUUAGCUAGUUGGUGAGGUAAAGGCUCACCAAGGCGACGAUCCUUAGCUGGUCUGAGAGGAUGAUCAGCCACACUGGGACUGAGACACGGCCCAGACUCCUACGGGAGGCAGCAGUGGGGAAUAUUGGACAAUGGGCGAAAGCCUGAGCAAGCAAUGCCGCGUGAGUGAUGAAGGCGUUAGGGUUGUAAAGCUCUUUUACCCGGGAUGAUAAUGACAGUACCGGGAGAAUAAGCGCCGGCUAACUACGUG